This 203-nucleotide long non-coding RNA is filed under the name Citrus sinensis (sweet orange). Its description in RNAcentral is "long non-coding RNA (CSIN_LNC000752)". The record is from RNAcentral. Lineage: Eukaryota; Viridiplantae; Streptophyta; Magnoliopsida; Sapindales; Rutaceae.
UAAAGCAACAUCACACCCACAUCAACCAUCCACAUGAAUUAGCCCAGUAGACUUUGUUAUAGCUACUUUCAAGAAUGACAUGUCAAACCCCAAAAUCUCACUGGAAGUAGUGACACUCUCACAAAUAAAUUAAACCCAAUAAAAAUAGUCACUCCAAUGAAUGGUAAUUGAGAGAGAAAAUAAUAAAGAAGUGAUAUCACAUG